Long non-coding RNA from Cololabis saira (Pacific saury), 275 nucleotides. RefSeq lists it as uncharacterized. The transcript has 3 exons. NCBI's taxonomy places the organism in Eukaryota, Metazoa, Chordata, Actinopteri, Beloniformes, Belonidae. The record is from RefSeq and is a predicted model, not a curated record.
AACUAUAGCAGCCUUCUGCCUGACUGAGCCGGCCAGCGGCUCCGAUGCCGCUUCCAUCAAGACCACGGCUGUUCUCUCACCAUGCGGGAAACACUUCAUUAUGAAUGGAAGCAAGAUCUGGAUCAGCAACGGAGGUUUGGCUGAGAUCUUCACGGUGUUUGCAAAGACACCUGUGAAGGACCCGAAGACUGGGGAGAUGAAAGACAAGAUCAGCGCUUUCAUCGUGGAGAGGAGCUUUGGAGGAGUGACAAAUGGCCCUCCAGAGAAAAAGAUGG